GGGGUUGUAGCUCAGUGGUAGAGUGCUCACCUAGCAUGUGCAAGGCCCUGAGUUCGAUCCUCAGCACCACA
Molecule: transfer RNA, 71 nt
Filed under: Marmota monax (woodchuck)
Lineage: Eukaryota; Metazoa; Chordata; Mammalia; Rodentia; Sciuridae
Description: tRNA.Ala
Rfam family: tRNA
About the family: Transfer RNA (tRNA) molecules are approximately 80 nucleotides in length. Their secondary structure includes four short double-helical elements and three loops (D, anti-codon, and T loops).
Source: RNAcentral